GACGAACGCUGGCGGCGUGCCUAACACAUGCAAGUCGAACGGAAAGGCCCUGCUCUUGUGGGGUGCUCGAGUGGCGAACGGGUGAGUAACACGUGAGUAACCUGCCCUUGACUUUGGGAUAACUUCAGGAAACUGGGGCUAAUACCCGAUAGGAGCUACUGCUGCAUGGUGGGGGUUGGAAAGAUUCGGCGGUGGUGGAUGGACUCGCGGCUUAUCAGCUUGUUGGUGGGGUAGUGGCUUACCAAGGCUUUGACGGGUAGCCGGCCUGAGAGGGGGACCGGCCACCUUGGGACUGAGAUACGGCCCAGACGCCUACGGGAGGCAGCAGUGGGGAAUAUUGCGCAAUGGGCGGAAGCCUGAUGCAGCGACGCCGCGUGCGGGAUGACGGCCUUCGGGUUGUAAACCGCUGUGGCCUGUGACGAGGCGUGAGUGACGGUAAUGGGUAAGGAAGCACCGGCUAACUACGUG
RNAcentral lists this ribosomal RNA (468 nucleotides) under uncultured bacterium. Its description in RNAcentral is "partial 16S ribosomal RNA". It matches the Rfam family "Bacterial small subunit ribosomal RNA", at positions 28 to 507 of the family's 1533-position model. The record is from RNAcentral.